Long non-coding RNA from Gadus macrocephalus (Pacific cod), 5214 nucleotides. RefSeq lists it as uncharacterized. The transcript is spliced from 8 exons. The record is from RefSeq and is a predicted model, not a curated record. Lineage: Eukaryota; Metazoa; Chordata; Actinopteri; Gadiformes; Gadidae.
CUGUUUGGCAGUGUAGCGUCUCCCAAACGCGGUAUGUUGUGUUUCCAGAAACCCCAACGUGUGUGUACUAUUUGACAUCUCUUCCUGUUUCAUAAGUUAAAGACUUUUUGAAGUGAAGAGGAGCAACUUAUCUGAACCUGAAGUCUAUCAUGGAUAUUUAACUGCAGUUCUGUGAGUAUCCCAACUUAACCAUGAAGAUGAACUGCAAACUGUAAGUCAUAAGUUUCUCAUUACUCUUGGGCACAUUGUUGUAUUUGGCUUCCUGGUGAGUUAACCCGUUACCUGAAGGUUGAUCUGCGUAGUAAGGAUGUUUUAUUGGUUCAUGGGUUACUUAGGUGUUUGGUUUAUAUGUUGGUUUUAAUGAUUUGUUAAAAUGGUUACAGGCUCCAAGUUAUUGUUGUUAGCUGGAGUAAUGGGUUGGGUUCUGAUGUCUUCAGUCUUCUCUCCUGAGCUCUGCAUCUUCAUCACUUGAGUGUUGCUUCACUGAUGAGCGUGUGGUCUGAGUGAGCGGAGGUGCAUACUGGGAUACAGAGCUGUCUGAAUUCUACAGGUCUGUAGACACGCCCCCUCGGGGGGAACCGAGUGUUUGAGAAACCGUCAUGACGUCAGUUACAUGGACUAGAAUGUUCUUAAGAUGGAGACGGGGAUUCAGAAGGAGAAACGCCAGGGGGAGUUGAGGGGGCUCCUCAUCUCAGCAGCUGAAACACAACUUCAGUCUGACACGGAGAACCAUGGAACAUAUUCAACAGUCCCCUCCAGACAUCGUGACUCCUCAGGAACAGUUUCAUUUCCAAGAAGGUCUUAAUUGGGGCCAUUCCAAGAUGGAUCCUGCUCCUCAAGAGCCACCCCCCUCCACUGGGUGGUCUUCUGAACAGAUGACCUCCUUCCUGUCCUCAGGCUGACUAAAGCUGCACCGUUUCCAUCUGUGAAGGCCCCUCAUUCAGGAAACCACUGGACUACAAAGACAUGACUUCAGAGACGUUUAAUCAACCUGGGACACAUUUUGGAGACGCCAAGCAUAAUCCAUCACCAAUGUGGGACGCCACUGAAAAAUGUUGCACAUAAUUUACUUCUCUGGAGACAUUGGUGGUUCUGUUCUGGGUGCCCUGGCAGGAGAGCUGGGGUUGGGUGAUGGAACGUUAUUUGGCAUGAAGUUUUUACCCUGCAUGAUUGUUUAGCCUUUUAUGGCUCAGUGGUGUGUGUUUUUGGGUUUGACAUGAGAUGGAUGCUUUUUGACCAUCGCUAGGGUUCUACUGUGUGUGUCUCCCACUAACACCUGGCAUGGGGUUCUACGUGCGUGUCCUGUGUGUGUGUGUGUCUGGUUUGCUUUGACAGUGAUGUUCAUACAGGGGUCUGUGAUUGGCUUGGGAUAUUGGAAUGGUCAACUAAAUCAUACCUGAUGGACGGCCACACGUUUACUUAAGGGCCUCCAGUAGACAUGAAGAGCCCAGAGCGACGCUGCGGAGCGAUAUCAAUACACUAGGCAGGAAGGAGGGUAUCCAACUCAAGUGUAAAAGGAUGCAAGCGGCGUGUUCAGAUGAGUGACUUCAAACUAGGACUACACCAAUCAGGAUCAAUGGAGGAUGGACACCUAAAGGAAUUCCAAAAGGAGAGUGACGUUGGAAAGGGACCUAAAUGGAUAUUCAAGAUAAACUUCAUACCUGUAAUGAGACGGCUCUUCCUACCUGGCUGGAUUGAUGGGGAGCCCUGUGGAUCUUGUCUUGCUCUCAGUUGCACGUCUUCUCAGGCUGAACUGUAUUUGUUUCGGACAGGACUAGCUGAACGAUUGGUUCCCUUAAAUCAGAACCAAUCUGGGAACUCCAACUAGUGCGCUCUUCGAGCUGAAGUUGUGCUCUUCGAGCUGAAGUUGUGCUCUUCGAGCUGAAGAGGUAAGGAAACCUUCACUGGGGCUUCAAGGUGUAACGAGGAGGAUGUUUCAAAGUGUUCCAUGGUACUCUGAUGAAGACCGUUGUUGUUUUCCACUGGCUGAGAGGAAGAACCCUCGCAUCUUCCUCUUGGCCUUUCUCCUCUGAGAAUCCUGGCGUCAUCUUGAAGGAUAUUCCAGCUCAUGUAACUAAUGUCAAGACAGAUUCUCAAACACUUGGUUUCUCCUGAGGAGCGUGUCUAUAGAACUGAAGACUUUAGAAAGCACUGUAUCCCAGCAUGCAUCUCUGCUCACUCAGACCACACCCCCAUGAGUAGGAUGCAACAUUCUAGUGAUGGAGAUUUAGAGUUUUAUAAGUAACGAGGGAAGAGACAAAGGUGAUUAGAACCCAAUGGUCUGUAAAUCUUUAAACCAUGAAGAUGGUUGGAUAGUUCAGGAAUUGGGCUUCUUUUUAUUAUGGGCGGUCCUUUCACUCAGAUGCCCACUUCUCACUCGACCUGUUGGCUGGCUGGCAUGAUUUGCUGUUGGUGAUGAGGCGGUCAGGGUGACGUUGCAGGGCUAUGGUCGGCUCUCUGUGAGCUCAACGUUUAGAUUGCUCUGUAUGGUUUGUACCCUGAAUAAUCUAGAUAAUUGUAAAAUGUAGGCACGGUUUUGUAUUGAAUGAUCUUAGGUUUUAAGUUGUUGUGGGACGUACAUGGUAGUUUGGUUCUUCGUAUGGUUUUGAGUGAUAUAACUUGUACACACUGGGUGCAUAAUAAUGUAAAGGUACACUGAAUAGUAGUAAUGACCAACAGCAACAAACUGAUCUCCUCAAGGUAAGUCUGUUGGCUGUAUUUUAAUGAAGACCAUCGCUGGACUUCAGGAUCUUCCUCCGUUCAGCUCAAGGUGAGGCGCUGGUUCUGUUAUUCUUUGGUUGGUUCCGGCUGGAAUGUUCGGAUUCCAGUCGGACGGUUUGUGCUUCCCGCCGUGGAAGGUUCUGAGUGCGGUCAUUUGAUUUAGUCCCAAUGGUUAGCAUAGAACGUUCAGGAUUGUAUUUGCGUAACCUCGAGCCGUUUGAUAUUAAAUACAUACUGACACGUACGUCGUACAAUAUGUUGAUCAUUUCCGACGGUUGCGCCAUACUUUUAACCACGCUGACGUGACGGGACUCUCGCUGCGUACCAAACGGCGUUCGACCUGCGGGCCCAUUUUUUACAUCGGUGACGGAUGAAAAUCUUUUCACGGCUGCAUUUCAACCAAACCCAGCACCUGAAUAAGGCUGAGUAUAUUUGAUUUAAUAUCGAUACUGCUUAGUGUUCUUUGUUACUUCAGCUUUUGUAUGUUCUAAUUAACUGCUGUCAUUAAUUGCCACAGAAGUUAAACCCUACGGAAUGGAAUAACGUUAAACAACGACUUUGGUGCUUACCAAAGUUACCAACUGGAUAAUAUCAAAGCUAAAAUAAUGGCCGUCCUUCCCACAUGUUACAGUAGAAGAUACUCUAGAACUGUACAAGGUUAAAAAGGUAACAUGUAGUUUGUCCCAAGGUGUCUGCCUCCUCACCCAAAGCAAGACCUCCACCUCCUCACCCAGAGCCAGACCUCCACCUCCUGUCAGAAGUCCUCCAGAACAGCUGAAAGAUGAGGCUGAGAGGCUGGGGACCGGAGGCUUGUGGUGCCAGGAUGGACCGGAGACUGAGGCUGGAGACCAGGGGCCUGCAGCACCGGACCAGAGGUGAACUGCAGAUGCAGGUGGUGGGGUGUGUUGCGUCCCCAGGUGAUUUACUGCUGAGACCAGUGUUUGUUCCAGACCAGGACUCUGGCUGAGGUGAGCUGAUGGAGGAGCCAAGACUCUGGAGGACGACAUCACUCUACCAACCAGGAUCCUCACCAGGAAUCUGGAGGACUGAUGGAGAAGCCGUACAUCUGGAAGGCAAAUCCUGAGGACAACCAGGACUCGACCAUCAAGGAUUCCUCGCAGACACACCUGAGCUGAACCUCACCUGAUCCUGUUUGGUCGGGGGUACACACCUGAGCUGAACCCGCCCUGAUCCUGACAUCCUGCUGGUCCCGUCUCCUCAGUUCAUCUGCGCCUCAUCCUCCAGAAGACCUGCUGAGCUCAGCAGUCUGAGGCUGAUGUAUCAAUGACCUCCAGUGGGAGUGAUCUUCUUGACCCCACAUGUAACGUGAUUCGACACGCCUUUCCCUCACGUCUUUCACUAACCUCACUACUUCACUACUCUCUACUGCUUCCUCUUCUUCUUCCUUCUCUGUUGUUCGAACCUUUACACUGAAGGCGCGUCUUCCUGCCCUCAGAGGGUUCUGCGUUAGGGUUGAGAGUCAGGGUUUAGAGUCAGGGACAGAGCUGGUCAGGGAGGACUGCUUUUACACAAACCUCUUCACCACCUUUCGGAAUGGUGGUGACAUUUUGAAAAGAUUAAUUUGGGAAAAUGUUUUCCUCUGCUUUCCUUUACAAAAUUGUAUUAAACUUCUGUCAAGUGUUUUUGUUUAUAUAUUAAAAUCCCUCAUUGACUUCUACAGUGGUGGGGUGUGUUGCGUCCCCAGGUGAUUUACUGCUGAGACCAGUGUUUGUUCCAGACCAGGACUCUGGCUGAGGUGAGCUGAUGGAGGAGCCAAGACUCAGGAGGACGACAUCACUCUACCAACCAGGAUCCUCACCAGGAAUCUGGAGGACUGAUGGGGAAGCCGUACAUCUGGAAGGCAAAUCCUGAGGACAACCAGGACUCUACCAUCAAGGAUUCCUCGUAAGUGCAUUAUCUGGACAUAUUGGACUAGACACACCUGAGCUGAACCUCACCUGAUCCUGUUUGGUCGGGGGUACACACCUGAGCUGAACCCGCCCUGAUCCUGACAUCCUGCUGGUCCCGUCUCCUCAGUUCAUCUGCGCCUCAUCCUCCAGAAGACCUGCUGAGCUCAGCAGUCUGAGGCUGAUGUAUCAAUGACCUCCAGUGGGAGUGAUCUUCUUGACCCCACAUGUAACGUGAUUCGACACGCCUUUCCCUCACGUCUUUCACUAACCUCACUACUUCACUACUCUCUACUGCUUCCUCUUCUUCUUCCUUCUCUGUUGUUCGAACCUUUACACUGAAGGCGCGUCUUCCUGCCCUCAGAGGGUUCUGCGUUAGGGUUGAGAGUCAGGGUUUAGAGUCAGGGACAGAGCUGGUCAGGGAGGACUGCUUUUACACAAACCUCUUCACCACCUUUCGGAAUGGUGGUGACAUUUUGAAAAGAUUAAUUUGGGAAAAUGUUUUCCUCUGCUUUCCUUUACAAAAUUGUAUUAAACUUCUGUCAAGUGUUUUUGUUUAUAUAUUAAAAUCCCACAUUGACUUCUA